This 368-nucleotide ribosomal RNA is filed under the name uncultured organism. Its description in RNAcentral is "bacterial SSU rRNA". It matches the Rfam family "Bacterial small subunit ribosomal RNA", at positions 526 to 896 of the family's 1533-position model. The record is from RNAcentral.
CGGAGGGUGCAAGCGUUAUCCGGAUUCACUGGGUUUAAAGGGUGCGUAGGUGGGCAGGUAAGUCAGUGGUGAAAUCUCCGGGCUUAACCCGGAAACUGCCAUUGAUACUAUUUGUCUUGAAUACCGUGGAGGUCAGCGGAAUAUGUCAUGUAGCGGUGAAAUGCUUAGAUAUGACAUAGAACACCAAUUGCGAAGGCAGCUGGCUACACGAAUAUUGACACUGAUGCACGAAAGCGUGGGGAUCAGACAGGAUUAGAUACCCUGGUAGUCCACGCCCUAAACGAUGGAUACUCGACAUACGCGAUAUACUGUGUGUGUCUGAGCGAAAGCAUUAAGUAUCCCACCUGGGAAGUACGAUCGCAAGAUUG